GAUGAACGCUGGCGGCGUGCCUAAUACAUGCAAGUCGAGCGAACGGACGAGAAGCUUGCUUCUCUGAUGUUAGCGGCGGACGGGCGAGUAACACGUGGAUAACCUACCUAUAAGACUGGGAUAACUUCGGGAAACCGGAGCUAAUACCGGCUAAUAUUUUGAACCGCAUGGUUCAACAGUGAAAGACGGUCUUGCUGUCACUUAUAGAUGGAUCCGCGCUGCAUUAGCUAGUUGGUAAGGUAACGGCUUACCAAGGCAACGAUGCAUAGCCGACCUGAGAGGGUGAUCGGCCACACUGGAACUGAGACACGGUCCAGACUACUACGGGAGGCAGCAGUAGGGAAUCUUCCGCAAUGGGCGAAAGCCUGACGGAGCAACGCCGCGUGAGUGAUGAAGGUCUUCGGAUCGUAAAACUCUGUUAUUAGGGAAGAACAUAUGUGUAAGUAACUGUGCACAUCUUGACGGUACCUAAUCAGAAAGCCACGGCUAACUACGUG
This 497-nucleotide ribosomal RNA is filed under the name uncultured bacterium. RNAcentral's name for it is "partial 16S ribosomal RNA". It matches the Rfam family "Bacterial small subunit ribosomal RNA", at positions 28 to 507 of the family's 1533-position model. The record is from RNAcentral.